This 163-nucleotide ribosomal RNA is filed under the name Euphrasia transmorrisonensis. RNAcentral's name for it is "5.8S ribosomal RNA". It matches the Rfam family "5.8S ribosomal RNA". From Rfam's summary of the family: 5.8S ribosomal RNA (5.8S rRNA) is a component of the large subunit of the eukaryotic ribosome. It is transcribed by RNA polymerase I as part of the 45S precursor that also contains 18S and 28S rRNA. The record is from RNAcentral. Lineage: Eukaryota; Viridiplantae; Streptophyta; Magnoliopsida; Lamiales; Orobanchaceae.
CGACUCUCGGCAACGGAUAUCUCGGCUCUCGCAUCGAUGAAGAACGUAGCGAAAUGCGAUACUUGGUGUGAAUUGCAGAAUCCCGUGAACCAUCGAGUCUUUGAACGCAAGUUGCGCCCGAAACCAUCYGGUUGAGGGCACGUCUGCCUGGGCGUCACGCAUC